CGGCGGUGAAGUUAGUUUCAGGUUGGAUAUAUUUUCCUGUAAAUACGGCGGUGAAGUUAGUUUCAGGUUGGAUAUAUUUUCCUGUAAAUACGGCGGUGAAGUUAGUUUCAGGUUGGAUAUAUUUUCCUGUAAAUACGGCGGUGAAGUUAGUUUCAGGUUGGAUAUAUUCUCCUGUAAAUACGGCGGUGAAGUUAGUUUUAGGUUGGAUAUAUUUUCCUGUAAAUACGGCGGUGAAGUUAGUUUCAGGUUGGAUAUAUUUUCAUGUAAAUACGGCGGUGAAGUUAGUUUCAGGUUGGAUAUAUUCUCCUGUAAAUACGGCGGUGAAGUUAGUUUCAGGUUGGAUAUCUGACGGACAUUCUCUGAGGAUCUACCGGUGUCUUCUCACUCUCCAUGACCGG
Xyrichtys novacula (pearly razorfish) is the source of this 398-nucleotide non-coding RNA. Lineage: Eukaryota; Metazoa; Chordata; Actinopteri; Labriformes; Labridae. The record is from the annotation of a GenBank genome assembly.